ACCUGUGAUGACAUAUCCACGACUUGGAGGUGUAGAUAGGUCCAGGUCCCUGUUUUGCAGGGAGAACCUACUUGGAGCUGCUGCAUUCAGUUGACAUUUCUGGAUUUGUCUGAGGC
This is a non-coding RNA of Musa acuminata subsp. malaccensis (wild Malaysian banana), 116 nucleotides long. Lineage: Eukaryota; Viridiplantae; Streptophyta; Magnoliopsida; Zingiberales; Musaceae. The record is from Rfam.